This is a long non-coding RNA of Oncorhynchus kisutch (coho salmon), 446 nucleotides long. RefSeq lists it as uncharacterized. NCBI's taxonomy places the organism in Eukaryota, Metazoa, Chordata, Actinopteri, Salmoniformes, Salmonidae. The record is from RefSeq and is a predicted model, not a curated record. The transcript is spliced from 3 exons.
CUUGUCUACAGAAGCGUCUGAAUGGAGGAGAGUGUGUUGGCCAUAACACUUGCCACUGUCCUCCAGGCUGGCAGGGCAUGCUAUGCCAAGUCCCACUCUGUGAACAGAAGUGUCUUUAUGGGAGCCGAUGUAUCCGCCCUAAUGUCUGUGCCUGCAGGAAAGGAUAUUCAGGGGUCCUGUGUUCCCAUAAGCUCCCAAUUCCACGAGGCUGAUGGAGGUCUGUGAACUAUGUACUGAAGAUGCUGGGCUGAAACAAGACAAUGAAACUCCUAAUGGAACCACCACACUGAAUAUUAGGAUUCUCGAUGCCCAUGGCUUUUGUUUCUUCAAAAUAAUUUGUAAUAUACGUCACAAUUCCAAAGAUUAUGAUCUGUACAUAAUAUAUGUAUAAUAUUUGUAUAAUACUUUUUCUUAGAACCAAUAAUACUCUAUUUUAUCUAUUAAAG